Homo sapiens (human) is the source of this 2806-nucleotide long non-coding RNA. Ensembl annotates it as hepatocellular carcinoma up-regulated long non-coding RNA. Its record names the gene HULC. The record is from Ensembl. NCBI's taxonomy places the organism in Eukaryota, Metazoa, Chordata, Mammalia, Primates, Hominidae.
CGCCUUUCAGCCUUUACCUCUACCCACUGAAAUGGAGUAGGUCGGUGAGCGCCGAUCUGCUGGAGAAUCUCAUUAUCCCAUCGGCGCUCUGCCUGCUCCUGGCCUCCAAGCCUCUGAAGCCCCUCGGGUUUCAGCUGCCGGCUACCCUCGAGCCCGUGGUGCCCACGAGAGAGGCGACUUUACGUCAGCGGCCCUGGGCUGAGAUUUGAGAACGCGACCAAGUGGAGAAUGUUGGAGCCAGAUUUUAAAAUCCUUGUCUUCCUUCUGCGUGCUACUUGAUCUAAAUGAGAUACGGCAAAGUCACAGAACCUGUUUUUAUGUUUUUGCCUGAUUCAUACGGGCUUCUCCGGUGAAGAUGGGCCUGAAGUAACGCUUGGGUUGCUUCUGACGUUAUAACUCAUCCUGUAGCUGCAGCAACCGUGGUCCUUGCAACCUCAUAAAAAUGUUGCCAGCAUUGUUUCGAUAGUGCUGCUUAAUUCUUGGAAGGCCUCUUUGCUUUCUUCCCUGAGGUUCUUCGGACUUCACACAUUCCAGCAGUAGCUCUCUCAGCUCCUGUCCUGCACAGCUUUGAAGUGCUGGUGAUGUCAUUGAACUCUUAAGUGCAAGAUGAAACAAGUCUUUCUGGGGUUCUAAGUAGGACACAGCCCUGGUGAUGGCUUUCUGAGGAUGACACGAUGGAGGCUUCUCCAAUAGCUCUAAAACUGCGGUGUGGAAAACAUUCGGCAGCCUCAAAGAGCGGUCUUGUUGACCCCAACUAUAUCAUUUUUCAUCAAAAUCAUUCUUGUAAAGAAUGACCAGGCAACACUCUUUGAAAAUUGGAGGCCAUUUGCAGCUGCUCUCUGUUGAGGAAAGUGAAUAAUAGGGUGCCCUCAAGGAAUUGCAAAGGGACACGCUGCGGAUGGCUUGAGAUUAGUAUCUGCGCAGGUGCCAUUCUCACAGUGUGUGCUGUGAGAAUGUCGCAGACGUGUGCUGCUACUCUGGCACUCACACUUGUCCAGGCUGUUUCUUAGGUGGUCAUCUUGCCUGUGGUAUCAGAAAAAGGGAUUUCUACUUAGUAUUAAGAAGUUGAAACCAAAGUAGAAAAUAUUCAUCCUUUGCUUUCCCCAAACAAUUCUUCUGCCUAGAAAUGUCAACAACUUAACCACAUGCAAAUACCCAUUUGUGGACAAAUGUGUACAAAAGACAUUUGGGGUUCCCCUCUUUGAGACUAGAUUAAAGCUGACCAUAUAGAUAGGGAAGAAAACUGUUUUUCUCUGUAGCAUCAUAUUGCUGCUUUGUAUAUUUUCUGAUAGAGUAGCAUCAGGUCCUCUGGCUGCUUUAUUGAAAUCAUCUUUGACGUUUCUAACAAGGAAAUUUCCUGUGCAAAACUCUAGUUAGAGAUUUCAGUGACUUGUAUCACCAAGAGGAGGACCAUCAGCAUGCAGUGGAGGUCUAGGCUUCAGACAUGUGAGGCACACUGAGGAGCAGCUUUAUUUGCAAGAGGUAUUAGGAAUCUUCCUAACAAAGUUGACCUUCAGGAUGGGAGAAAUCAAAGCACAGACCAUAGAUCCAAAAAAAAUGGCUUCUGGUCAGAAAAGGUGAUCUGAGAUUAGGGGAAGAUGUGUCAUCAAUAUCAUCCCCUGGUCCAGCCCUGUGAAAUCACACCUGAGUGGUAGAGAAAUAUCUAUGAAAAAAUAGUAAAACAGAAACAAAUGUUUCUGUCUGGCAGACAGGCAGCUGCAUGGCUUUCAGGGCCAGGUAGAGGGGACAUCACAUGUACAUGGUGGCAGCGGGAUGUCCCCAGGUAGCAGAAAGUCGCAGGUGGCUCAUCAGAGACCCUAAAGAACUAGCCCCCUACUUGUAGGUGUCAGUGGCUGUGGUAGGAGUGGCCAUAGAUAGUUUCUGGUUACACAAGAUUGGUGUGGGAACAGCAUGACCACGAGAAAAAUCUGGGUUGACGGCCCCAGGGAGCUGGAGCAGAAUAUUAACAAUAGUAGCUAGCAUUUGAGUGCUGCCCAUGUGCUUGAAAAUGUUCUAGGUGAUUUACCUUUAUUAGCUCCUAUAAUUCUCAAAACGACCUCGAGUUAGGUCUUUCUAUUAUUCCUAUUUUAUAGACAAAGCAGUGGAGCCACAGAGAGGUUAAGUAACUUGCCCAAUGUCACACAGCAAAAAGUGGCAGAGCCACAAUUUUAAUUUGGGUUGAAGAGGAAAAUAGAUAAUGCAUAUUCCUAGGAUCUGAGAGAUGUUUGAGGUGAGGGGGAAUGAGAGGCUCUCCUUUGAAAGAAGCAGCAGGGGGUACUGAAACAGAGUAGAAGAGUGUGAAAGCUGGUGGGGUUGUUGUUGUUGUUGUUUUUAGUCCUAAGUUAGUGGCAUGAAAGCACUGCCCUGGAAGCGAUGGAGCAGCAAGUGCUCUACCCACAUGGAAGUCUUUGGGACCUGCACUUCAAUGAGCGCAGAGAGGAAAAGGAGAGAAGAACCAACACAACUGAAGCACCUACGAGCGUCAGGCACUGGCCCAGCUGCCAUGGACCCCCGAGUUGAAGGUCGUAUAACCUCAGCCUGCCCAAAUGAACCAAGCACACAACCACAGGGGGAACCCAAGAGUUCCAGUGGGAGAGCUGGAAGAGGAGGGACCAAUGUGAGAAGUGGACACCAUAUGGCAGGAUCCAGGAUCCAAUCAGACUGAGCCCUGGGGUCACCCCAUGGAAGGAUCCAGUUGGAUCAUGCCUCCUGGCAUCACCUACUGCAAGAUCCAAUCAGAUCACACCUCCUUACCCUAUGCUUAUAAAACCCCACCCAGCCCCCAGCCCGAAGAUACAGAUUUGAG